AAACCAACAGGGAUUGCCUCAGUAACGGCGAGUGAAGCGGCAAAAGCUCAAAUUUGAAAUCUGGUACCUUCGGUGCCCGAGUUGUAAUUUGAAGAUUGUACUCUGGAGUUGGCCCUUGUCUAUGUUCCUUGGAACAAGACGUCACAGAGGGUGAGAAUCCCGUGCGAUGGGGUGUCCAAUUCCAUGUAGAGUGCUAUCGAAGAGUCGAGUUGUUUGGGAAUGCAGCUCUAAGUGGGUGGUAAAUUCCAUCUAAAGCUAAAUAUUGGCGAGAGACCGAUAGCGAACAAGUACAGUGAUGGAAAGAUGAAAAGAACUUUGAAAAGAGAGUGAAAAAGUACGUGAAAUUGUUGAAAGGGAAGGUUAUUAGAUCAGACUUGGUGUUUGGCGAUAUUCAGUCUCUUGUAGGCUGUUCACUCGUCUUUCACUGGGCCAGCAUCGGUUUGGAUGGCAGGAUAAUGGCCGUUGAACGUGGCUCUUCGGAGUGUUAUAGCUUCAGCUGAUACUGCCUAUCUAGACCGAGGACUGCGGCUUUCGGGCCUAGGAUGCUGGCGUAAUGAUCUAAUAUCGC
This 568-nucleotide ribosomal RNA is filed under the name Waltiozyma solani. RNAcentral's name for it is "eukaryotic LSU rRNA". It matches the Rfam family "Eukaryotic large subunit ribosomal RNA", at positions 62 to 648 of the family's 3401-position model. Lineage: Eukaryota; Fungi; Ascomycota; Saccharomycetes; Phaffomycetales; Wickerhamomycetaceae. The record is from RNAcentral.